CCCUGCUUUCCAAAGGGAUCAUGGGCUUCCCGUGCCCUGUCACUGAUAGUGUGGGGAGAGGAACUGAUGAACGCCAUUUCCCCAUGUUUGCAAGGUCCAUUCCUGUCUCUUCCAAACCCUGGAGCCGCCUUCCCCCC
This is a small nucleolar RNA of Otolemur garnettii (small-eared galago), 137 nucleotides long. Its record names the gene SNORA71. It matches the Rfam family "Small nucleolar RNA SNORA71". From Rfam's summary of the family: The members of this family belong to the H/ACA class of snoRNAs which bind a number of proteins (including dyskerin, Gar1p and Nop10p) to form snoRNP complexes. This class of snoRNAs are thought to guide the sites of modification of uridines to pseudouridines by forming direct base pairing interactions with substrate RNAs. Lineage: Eukaryota; Metazoa; Chordata; Mammalia; Primates; Galagidae. The record is from Ensembl.